AAUUAAAUAGCAUUUGAUAUGGUGAUAUGACAAGGAACCCAUGCUUUCACAUAGAAGCAAUUGCACCUGCAACUAGCAACACUAACACAAGGUUAAGCAAGCAGUAACAUAGCCAAUCAGUGGUUUGCUAGGUCGAACAGGUUGAAGGUUAACAUGGCAUUGUUGAGAGGCUGAUAUUUAACAUGUGGUAGGCAACGAGACUUAAUCGAUAGAAGCGAUAAAACUAGCAUGGCAAUGAUAGAAAUGGUAUCUGGGAAAUGGUCAUCUUGCCUGAGAUCCCGCUUGGAAGAAGAAUGCCUCCGUGAAGCAAACGAACCGACGUAGUCGACCGGGUCCUCACAUCUGACACGCUUGCGGAGCUCUAUCGAGACGGGGGAAACCGGAACAAGCAUCAACAAACGAUAUUCACCACACGAUGCACAACACAAAUGAUGCAUGAGCAGCUGAAUACAUGCAAGUCACGACAUGACAAUUCACGACAAUCAAACACUACACAUUAAGUGAAGUUCAAUAUGCAACGAGUUGCAUAUUGACGAAACUCCACGUUUAUUUAUUUAGUUCUAUCCCGAUUAGGUACACGGCAAUAUUAAAUGUGCUUAAACAUGGCAAGAGGUGAAGCGUAAUUUAAACUACCUAUCUAGGCAUUUUAAAUGAGGUUGGAAAUGACAUAUAACACCUCCGAGACGACCUCACAUGUUAAUUUACAGUUCUGUCCAGAUCUGAACUAACACAUUUAAUUAGUUUUUAAACAGCAAAACAAAUAGGUUCACGUGAUCCUACACGUCAUUUCAAGCAAUCUACGCAUAGAGAACAUCUCCAACGGAGCUACGGAUCAAAAGAUACAAGCACCGCAAGAUAUGAUGGCAUGAAUGCAAUAUGUGUGCAACGACGUUCGCGAGCACUUCAAAACAUAAAACCAGCAAGAGAAAAUGAAACUACACGAGAUUCUAAGCAAGUUUCAUGUAGGACACGAUCAAAUCGGAGCUACGGUUCAACAACUACGAGCAAAACAAGAAAUCACCACAAUCUGCCAAAAUCAGCCACAUAGCAUUUUCUAUACCCCACAACUACGAGCUACUCAACUCAAAUAUAAUCAACCAAGGCAUGACACGAAAGAGGGCAAGAAGCACUACAACAAACAACUAACAACAACUAGCAUGACAGCAAGGAACACUAGGAAAAGAAGACACAAAAUGGCAUCUCAGACACUAUUUCAGACUUGGUGAAAAUUACACUUCAUGAAAGUGCAGUUUUCGAUCUGAAGGCAUAUUGACAGCAGCAAAAUCAUAAGCUACAGGACUCCAAAUAGCAUGAAAAUUCACAGCAUGCUAGAGAAUCACAAGGGUUACAACUAACUUCAUUGCACAAACCUCAAAAGAGCUACAGAACAAAAGAUAGAAGCACGACAAGACAGCAACAAAAUAUAACAGAUCCCAGACUUAGAAAUAUUUCAGCACCUACAAAAUCAGCACUAUUUCUAGCAACUUAAGAGCAAGCAAACCACACCUAAACAUGCAUUUCUAUUGCAACCAAAAAUACCAGAGGCUAGAGU
This 1552-nucleotide long non-coding RNA is filed under the name Hordeum vulgare. RNAcentral's name for it is "long non-coding RNA (HVUL_LNC015744)". The record is from RNAcentral. Lineage: Eukaryota; Viridiplantae; Streptophyta; Magnoliopsida; Poales; Poaceae.